This 395-nucleotide ribosomal RNA is filed under the name uncultured bacterium. RNAcentral's name for it is "bacterial SSU rRNA". It matches the Rfam family "Bacterial small subunit ribosomal RNA", at positions 505 to 898 of the family's 1533-position model. The record is from RNAcentral.
GUGUCAGCCGCCGCGGUAAUACAGAGGUCUCAACCGUUGUUCGGAUUCAUUGGGCGUAAAGGGUGCGUAGGCGGCGGGGUAAGUCAGGUGUGAAAUCUCGGGGCUCAACCCCGAAACUGCACUUGAUACUGCCUUGCUCGAGUACUGGAGAGGAGACUGGAAUUUACGGUGUAGCAGUGAAAUGCGUAGAUAUCGUAAGGAAGACCAGUGGCGAAGGCGAGUCUCUGGACAGUUACUGACGCUGAGGCACGAAGGCCAGGGGAGCAAACGGGAUUAGAUACCCCGGUAGUCCUGGCAGUAAACGGUGCACGUUUGGUGUGGGCGGAUUCGACCCCGCCCGUGCCGGAGCUAACGCGUUAAACGUGCCGCCUGGGAAGUACGGUCGCAAGAUUAAA